Molecule: non-coding RNA, 562 nt
Filed under: Drosophila sechellia
Lineage: Eukaryota; Metazoa; Arthropoda; Insecta; Diptera; Drosophilidae
Description: Eukaryotic large subunit ribosomal RNA
Rfam family: Eukaryotic large subunit ribosomal RNA
Source: Rfam by way of RNAcentral
UAUAUUAUUUAUGCCUCUAACUGGAACGUACCUUGAGCAUAUAUGCUGUGACCCGAAAGAUGGUGAACUAUACUUGAUCAGGUUGAAGUCAGGGGAAACCCUGAUGGAAGACCGAAACAGUUCUGACGUGCAAAUCGAUUGUCAGAAUUGAGUAUAGGGGCGAAAGACCAAUCGAACCAUCUAGUAGCUGGUUCCUUCCGAAGUUUCCCUCAGGAUAGCUGGUGCAUUUUAAUAUUAUAUAAAAUAAUCUUAUCUGGUAAAGCGAAUGAUUAGAGGCCUUAGGGUCGAAACGAUCUUAACCUAUUCUCAAACUUUAAAUGGGUAAGAACCUUAACUUUCUUGAUAUGAAGUUCAAGGUUAUGAUAUAAUGUGCCCAGUGGGCCACUUUUGGUAAGCAGAACUGGCGCUGUGGGAUGAACCAAACGUAAUGUUACGGUGCCCAAAUUAACAACUCAUGCAGAUACCAUGAAAGGCGUUGGUUGCUUAAAACAGCAGGACGGUGAUCAUGGAAGUCGAAAUCCGCUAAGGAGUGUGUAACAACUCACCUGCCGAAGCAACUAGC